UGGCAUCUCAUUCUCGUGCGCUUCCUCUGCAAUUGACUUUGGGUUUGAAGUCAGUUCUUCCACCUUUUCAGGGUCAGCGGCCGUUGACAUUGUACUCUCUUCUUCUUCCUUGGCAGGAACUUCUUCUGCUACAGCUGCUAAAUUCUCCACCUCGGUCGCUUGUGGUUCAUCGUCCAAACUUGGUGCGUUUACUUCCUCCGUUGACUUCUCGCCAAGGUCAACUAUUGUUGUCUGAUCCACACUUUGUUCUGGUGUACUUUGUUCUAGUGUACUAUCUGCUGGUGCUUUCUCAACCUCAUCCGGCGCUGUUUCCACGACUGGAUUCUCAUCAGCUUGUCCCGGCUCUAGGGCCGCUGGUACUUCAUUGUCUUUCGGAGUGGUUUCAAUCUUCUCUGGCUUCUCAACUGGUUCUUGUUCCUCGGCAUUCAGUGGAGUCUCCUCGAGGCUUGGUGGUGUCUCGGUUUUGCC
This 468-nucleotide long non-coding RNA is filed under the name Selaginella moellendorffii. RNAcentral describes it as "long non-coding RNA (SMOE_LNC001123)". Lineage: Eukaryota; Viridiplantae; Streptophyta; Lycopodiopsida; Selaginellales; Selaginellaceae. The record is from RNAcentral.